Molecule: ribosomal RNA, 381 nt
Filed under: uncultured bacterium
Lineage: Bacteria
Description: bacterial SSU rRNA
Rfam family: Bacterial small subunit ribosomal RNA
Source: RNAcentral
GACGAACGCUGGCGGCGUGCUUAACACAUGACAAGUCGAGGACGGGUAACGUCCCGGUUUCGGGGUACACGAGCGGCGAACGGGUGAGUAACACGUGGGUGACCUGCCUUUAGCUCUGGGAUAAGCCUGGGAAACCGGGUCUAAUACCGGAUAUGACUCCGCGGCGCAUGUUGUGGGGUGGAAAGCCUUGUGCGGCUGGAGAUGGGCCCGCGGCCUAUCAGCUUGUUGGUGGGGUGAUGGCCUACCAAGGCGACGACGGGUAGCCGGCCUGAGAGGGCGACCGGCCACACUGGGACUGAGACACGGCCCAGACUCCUACGGGAGGCAGCAGUGGGGAAUCUUGCGCAAUGGGCGAAAGCCUGACGCAGCGACGCCGCGUGA